GAGGGGACCAGAAGAUUGGCUGGAGAAUAACACUUGUGAAAAGAUGGGAAUGAAGAGACCCAGAAGGGGAACUUGCCCAGGACAAUACAACUCAUAGGUGGAGUUCAGAUUCCACUCCAGGAGAUCUAGGCAAGAGCCUGUGCUUAACCCUAUGCCUCACCAUUCUCUGUUCCAGCCCUCAGGGAGGUGAAGGCGGAGGGUCAUUUAGGAAUCACCCUUAGGGCCCUUUUGUGACUUCCCUUCACAACUCCCAGAAGUAAUAUGUGACAUGUGGUCUAUAAGAGAGCAUUUGGUAAAUAACGAUCAAUUCAUUGUUUUCUUGAAGUCCUAUGUGGCUACCAAUCCUUGCUUAUUGGCCUGCAAUGCCACACACUUCCCCCACCACCACUACCACCAACACACACACACACACACACACACACACACUGCAGUCUCCUCAAGGAUGAAUUGGGAUUUCCAAUAGGCUUUUUUACAAGCUUCAGGCAACUCUCAAAGCACCCAGAUCAGCCCUGUAGGCUGUGGACAGGAGGCCACCUCUACCUACACGGCUCAGGCCCUGUCCAGCUCUCCCUGAAACCAUCAGGUCAACUUUUCCACUUAAAACCCAACCAAGCGUUGCGGGCAUGACUUUCCACAUAGGACACCGAAGUUAGACCUACUGCUGACAACAAUAGUAAUUAUAACUGCCAAGUAUAAAGUGCUAUGUGCCUUCAAUUUGAUCCUCUCGACAACCUAUGAGUUGAAGAAACUGGGUGGGGAUUGUUAUUUUUUUGUUAUUCACAACGGAAACAGAGUGUCAAAGAGUUGAAGUUCUUGCCACAGACCCUCAGGGAAAAAAAUGUCUGAGUCUAUAUUCAUGCUCAGGACUACCUGACUCUGAAGCCCUGCCCCUAAUUGCCAGACCACGGGAACUCCACACAGGAAUUAAUGAGAAAUGUCCAAGGAGUAGAUAGUUAUUGAUCACAUGCUAUGUGCCCAGUGCUGUAUUAAGCCUUGAGGAUGCAAUAAGACAGAAAUGGUCCCUGCCUAAUAGAAUUUAGAGCUCAAUAAAGACAACUACAGAAUUUAUUCAUUCAUCCAAUAUUCAUUGAGAGUCAUUAUGUCAGAGCCGGACACAAUUCUAAGUGUUUGAAGAUGCAACAAUGAACAGAAAAGGCAAGGACGCUGUCUUCAUAAUGUUAGGACAUUUCAAAACAGUGCAAUGGAGCAUUUUAAACAGGCAGUGGAAGAGUUAGGAGGGAAAACAAGAGUCUUACACUGGGCCCCAGCUGGGAUGUGCUUUCCCAGCCCCCAGGGAGCCAUCUAGCUGUUGGUGGGAAUUCUGGGCUGCUGAGAGGGCGGUCACCCACCCAGGCAGUUCCUGGAGUCACAUCCCAGGAGGGGGCCAGAGAGGGGCUGGCUGGCUUCUAACACUGGGUAGCUGAUUUCCAGCUGUGCUGAAUCCCUUGGGGCUCUCUAAUUAUUACAAAGAGUAUCAUGAAGUUCUCUUCACCAGUGCUCCUAAAGAGAUGAGUUUAAUCCACUUGCACUGAAAAAGUGUCUCUGUUGGCAAACAACAUCUGUCAUAGGAGAGGUGGAGCAGAAGAGGCAUGAAAGGGAGUGCCAUGAUGUUAAUAUCUGCUCCAAAAUGUUUGGGAAUAAAAGAAGUGAGGGGUUUUUAGGUGUUUUUUUUUAAGUUUUUAUUGAAGUAUAGUUGAUUUACAAGGUUGAGAUAAUCUCUGCUGUACAACAAAGUGAUUCAGUUAUACAUACACACAUAUCCAUUCUUUUCCAGAUUCCUUCCUCGUAAAGAUUAUCACAAAAUAUUGGGGAGGGUUCCCUGUGCUACACAGCAGGUCCCCAUUGGCCAACCAUUCCAAAUAUCACAGUGUGCUUAUGUCAAUUCCAGACCCCCAAUCCAUAUCUCUCCCCCACAUGUCCCCUUUGGUAACCAUAAAUUUGUUUCUGAA
This 1949-nucleotide long non-coding RNA is filed under the name Sus scrofa (pig). Its description in RNAcentral is "lncRNA (ENSSSCG00040052776.1)". Lineage: Eukaryota; Metazoa; Chordata; Mammalia; Artiodactyla; Suidae. The record is from RNAcentral.